CAGUAGCCGCGGUAAUACGAAGGGUGCAAGCGUUAAUCGGAAUUACUGGGCGUAAAGCGUGCGUAGGCGGUUUGUUAAGUCUGCUGUGAAAUCCCCGGGCUCAACCUGGGAAUGGCAGUGGAUACUGGCAAGCUAGAGUGUGUCAGAGGAUGGUGGAAUUCCCGGUGUAGCGGUGAAAUGCGUAGAGAUCUGGAGGAAUACCGAUGGCGAAGGCAGCCAUCUGGCCUAAUACUGACGCUGAGGUACGAAAGCAUGGGGAGCAAACAGGAUUAGAUACCCGUGUAGUCCCUGUCUCUUAUAC
Molecule: ribosomal RNA, 301 nt
Filed under: uncultured bacterium
Lineage: Bacteria
Description: partial 16S ribosomal RNA
Rfam family: Bacterial small subunit ribosomal RNA
Source: RNAcentral